Acinonyx jubatus (cheetah) is the source of this 3638-nucleotide long non-coding RNA. RefSeq lists it as uncharacterized. The record is from RefSeq and is a predicted model, not a curated record. Lineage: Eukaryota; Metazoa; Chordata; Mammalia; Carnivora; Felidae. The transcript is spliced from 3 exons.
UAAACUGAGGAAUGACCAAUUUCAGGCUACUGAAGUCAUCACUGAACGCUGAGCUGGGGGUAGAUGCCCAGUAAGCCCACUGUUCAUAAGAUGAGUGUAAAUAACAUCAAGAGAAACACAGUAGUAAAAUGUGGUAAAAUUGUUAUUUCAUUUACAAUAAGGUUGCAGAGGUUAAUAAAAUGUCAAAUUUCUUUGUUUUGGGAUAGAAUUCAAGUUGGGUUGAUGACGCUAGUUACUGUGUAUUGAGUUAUGACUUUGAUUGGCAGUUAUGCCAUUGGUUGAUGAAACAAAGAAAUUAGAUAGAAGAACUCAUGAAUAAAAACAAGAGCCGGUAUUUUUGAAAGAAAAGUUAAAUAGACAAAUCUCUGGCAAAUCUGACCCCCCCAAAGAGAGAGAGAAACACAUAUAUAAUGCUAUGCCAGACAAGGGAACACAACCACAACAUGGAGGAAAUUUUUAAAGCAUUUUUAAAUGUAAUGUAAAUAUUAGUUAGCAAAGUUACCAAAAUUAACUAAAGAGGUAAAACAAAAGAUAUAUCAAUAACCAUAGAAGAAAUGGAAAUAAUUGCCAAAAUUAUCCAGACCCUGAUGGUUUACAUAUAACCUAUCAUACCUUCAAGAAAAUGAUAAUACUUAAGUUAUUAAAAGUGUUUUACAUAUAUAAUAGCAAAAGAAACAAUUCUUCAUUUAUUUUACAAAUUGGGCAUAAUGCUAAUACCAAAAGUUGAAAAAAAUAAGCCCUAAACAUCUCACAUUUACAGAUACAAAAAUCCAACAAAAAUAUUGGUAGACCAAAAUCAGUGGUGUAUUUCAAGGUCAAAUGCACAUGACAAGUAGAUUUCUUUUUAGGAUUCAAAGUGUGGUUCAAUAUAGGGAAACCUAUUAAUAUGUUUUACUUUAUUGGUAGAGUAACAAAGAAAAAUCAUACCAACAGCUCAAAAGAUGCUAAAAGUGCAUCUAUUAAAAUCCAACACCGAUCCCUGCUAAAAAUACUUGGUGAACUAAGGUUAGAAGACAAUUUCCUUAAUUUAAUAAAUAUAAAUGACUAUAUGACCAAAUUAAUGGCGUUCUCACUAAAGUCAUGAGAAAAGAUAAAAGUACCCACCAUCGCCACUAUGUUUCAACAUCGUUCCGCAGGCUGUUUCACAAUUCAAUGCGAUAAGAAAAAUUAACAACAUUGGAAAGUAGAAAACACGUUUUUUGCAUACAUUAUUAUUUCACAAUGAGAAAACUCUCAAGAGGGUAAACCGAGAGCCAUUAGAGCUAAAAAGAGAUUUCACUAUGGUAGCAAGCUAUGAGAUAACUACAUACAAAUACACAGGCUUCUUGUAAAGCAGAAAUAACCAGUUAGAAAACAUAACAGGGAACAAAUCCCUUUCACAAGAGCAACUAAAAAGAGAGAACGACUUGGAAUAACAAGACAUGUGCUAUGCCUAUCUAAAUAAAAUUGUAUUCUUUAUAUAUUAAAAUAUAAAAGUAGUCUUAGAAAAAUGGAAAGACCUACCAAGUCUCUAAAUGAAAAAGUUUACUAUUUAACAGAUAUCAAUCCUUUCCCCAACUUCAUUGGUAAGCUUAAUGUAGUUCCAAUAUUAAUUUUUGCCAGUUCUUGUGUUUUUAUGUAUUUGCUUCUUAAAAGUGCCAAAUUGAUUCUAAAGUUUAUAUGGAAGGAUCCAUAGAUAAAAAUAUAGUUUAUAUGGAAGAUUAUAUAAGCAAGAAGUCAUUUUUAGAAAAGAAAUUCCUGAAGGUAGGUCAUCCCUGGUAGCUAUCAAAACAAUUAUAUUACUAUAUCUAAAUUAUGUUAGAAAAGUUAAUAAAACAGUAUGGUACUGGUAAAGUAAAAGAAAGACCAAUAAAACAGAAAAGAGAGCCUAAAAAUAGUCCUAGAUUUUGGAAGAAACUUAACAUACGGCAAAAGGAGCACUGAAAAUUAGAGCAAUUCAUUCACAUUAGAAAUUUUUCUACCAGUCAGAUCAACAAAGAUUAAAAAGUUUGAUAACCCCCUUUGUUGGCAAGGAAGUGUGGAAAUAAACAGGUUUUCUAACUGGUUAUUUCUGCUUUACAAGAAACCUGGACUAAUAUAAAUUAGUCCAACCUUCGUGGAGCAAUUAAGCAAUAUAUUUUAAAAUUUAAAAUACUCAUACCCUUUGAUACAACAAAUUCUAUUUCUAGAAAUUCCUUCAGAAAAAAAAAAACAGAAAGUCAGCAAUGGUGCAACUAUAAGAAUCCUCAUUAUUGUUUAAAAUAUCAAAAAAAAAUUGAGAAUCUAAAUAUCAAUGAAGAAAAAUAGGUUAAAUAAAUUAUCAUAAAUCUAUACAAUACCUCCAUCGGAAUGGAUGGAGAAAUCUGCCCAUUAUAUGUUUUAUGUGAAAAAAAGCAAUUUGCAAAAUAGUAUAGUAUGAUUCCAUUUCUGUUAUGUAUUGUGGGGGGGCAGAUAUACAGGCACAGAAUUAAAUCUAUUCAGAUAUGUACAAACUAUUUGUAUCUGGGGAUUGGAUUCUGGGGACUCUCUCUACUUUGUUCAUUUCUAUAAUCCUUGAAUCUUGGUACAAUCUGCACAUAUUUCUUUGAUUAUUAGAGAAAGCCUUUUUAAGUAUUUCUAUUUUUAGAAGCAGAGGUAAUUAAUACGUUUGAUUUUUUUUUUUUAAUCUCAAAAUACUGGUGCCGUGGGUGCAAAAAUCAUGAAAGUGUCUUUGAUCAUGACAAGAAUGGAUCAUUAAGCUUAACUGCUGUGACAACCUUUAGAAGAAGACGUUGAGAAUCCUUUCAAAUCCAGUACUGCCAGGAACAAUCUUUCAUCGGAAAAAGCCCAGGAAGCUACAGACUGAUGCAGCACAAAAUGGAGCUGACCUCAGCGUGCACCACUCUGGAGACGGGCCAUGCUCUGACUGAAAUGUGAAGGAAGCCCCUUCCCAUUCCUGUUUCCUUUGUCAUCUAAGCCUUUUGCCGAUAGUAUCUGUCUCCACAGGCCUAAGAUUUACAGAACGGCUGGGCGAGCUUUUGGGGAAAGCAGUGCUGAACCAAGGGCAGUCAUGCAACAGAGCUACAAUGGUGGUACCACAGACAGCUAACACCUCAAGAAAGGACCCUGUGUCUGGAAAGACUGGGAAAGGGAGUGCCUUGAGCAAAGAAUAUGGGAGAGAAUCUGGGUUUCUUUUCCUGUGUGUGUGUGUGUGUGUGUGUGUGUGUGUGUGUCCCUUCUCUCAGAACUUCCCAAGGGUGAUACCCUAGCAGAAUCAGUCAAAUGGCAUGAUCAGCUAAUACCCAAUAAAAACUUUGCUUUAUGGUCAAACAUUUUUUUAAUGGUUCUUGCGGUCCAAAGAGAAUUGGAAUAAAUCACUGGGUAAAUUUUCUCUUUUUUCACUCUCUUCUUCGCACCAAAAGUAGUACUGAUUACAGGAACUAUGUAGCAGCACAGGCAUCCAAGACUCCAAGAGAACCCCACCUAUCUGGCCAGAGGACCAAGGAGUCUCUGCAGGUGGGAGAAUGUGGGGGAAUCCUGGAUAGAAGGGAGUUAAAGAGGGGCGCCUGGGUGGUUCAGUCGGUUAAGCAUCCGACUUUGACUCAGGUCAUGAUUUCACAGUUCUCCAGUUAGAGCCCCACAUUGGGCUCUCUGCUGUCAGGGUGGAGCCUGCUUUUGAU